GACGGAGGAUGCAAGUGUUAUCCGGAAUCACUGGGCGUAAAGCGUCUGUAGGUGGUUUGAUAAGUCAACUGUUAAAUCUUGAGGCUUAACCUCGAAAUCGCAGUCGAAACUAUUGGACUAGAGUAUAGUAGGGGUAAAGGGAAUUUCCAGUGGAGCGGUGAAAUGCGUAGAUAUUGGAAAGAACACCAAUGGCGAAGGCACUUUACUGGGCUAUUACUAACACUGAGAGACGAAAGCUAGGGUAGCAAAUGGG
This 253-nucleotide ribosomal RNA is filed under the name uncultured bacterium. RNAcentral describes it as "partial 16S ribosomal RNA". It matches the Rfam family "Bacterial small subunit ribosomal RNA", at positions 524 to 776 of the family's 1533-position model. The record is from RNAcentral.